GACUUUAAUGAAUAAACAUUUUGGUUCUGUUGGUGUUUUCCCACCAAUAGAGCCCAUGCACUUGAUCUUUGCCAUAUCUCUAUGAGGAGGACACACUUUAGUCAACUCCCUAAGAAUCCUACAAGUGAAGAUCCUAGACCUAUGAACAUGCACACUGAGCGAAGAUGUUGCUAGCUCCUAGAACUAGUGCUUGACUCCAAACCGUUGGAGAAGCAAUAAACAUAGGUGACAUCAUCUCAAGAGGUGCAACUAUCAAAGUCUCCACCUUUGGGACCAGAUAAAGCACCUAAGAAUUAAAAUGGUAAGAGGUCCUAUUGAGAGGACUUAAAAUCACAAAACGCCACGUCAAGAGGUAACUUGCUAUUUAUCUGCAUUUUCCUUUAAGCAUAUUUAUUUUUCUUAAUAGCAUUAGUAGUUGCAUCUUUAUUGUUUAUGCAUUAGAAAAGAAAAUAAAAAUGUAUUGAAUUGCAUUUAGAAAACUACUACGCCCCAUGUAUUUAAUAUGUGAUGCAUCAGCUUACAUACUUAUCUACUAUGGUGGCACAAAAAUAAGUUUUAGCAUAUUUAUUUUCCGGCAUACUAUACAUAUGAAAAGUAUAAAAAAAUAUUGAUCCUACUAAAAGAUAAAUGGGUAUAAGAAAGUUCUAGACUCUCAAAGCUUAGAGAUUUAUUACUAACGCUUAAUCAGUUCCACAAGCUUUGUUGUAUAUUUUGAGCUUCAUAGGCUUCAAAGGAUCAAAAAGAACUAACAGGUAGAAGGACGUCUUGUGCCCCAUCGGAGUACUGUUCACACGAGGCAAGUGUUGUUGCUGACAGCAAGUACCUACGAUACUCCAGGAGGAUCAGUACGUUUUCACUGCCCGUCAACAAUCUCGUCAACAUCCAGCUUGGGAGAGAGCAACCCCCGUACACCAAGCUAAGUAUCCCUUACUAACUUAUCUAUUUAUUCCUAGUGCGUUAUGACAUGAUAAAAAGAUGAAUAAUCUUAGAAAUCCAAUAAAUAUUUUAUCUUUCAUAAUUAAUCUUGCUAGGAAGAGCUUCUAAUGAAUCUGUUAAGAUGAACCUCUAGAAUUAACUCUUAUAUGGAGAUGAUGAAUAGUUGCUCUGCCGUAAUUCCUUGCAAGUACUAGUUUUCAACCUUGUACUCUUUUGAGUUUUUGGCACAACUGUUUAGACUUAAGAUUUGCUCUGAGCCUAAAACUUGGGGGUAGCAAAUGCUUAAUCUAAGUCUAGGUAGUUGACGGAUAUAAUAUGGGAAGGUUUUGAGCUACUAUCAAUCUUGAUCCUAGAGAUGCUAGAAUUCUAGAGAAUUUUAUUUUGAAAAUCUUAAAUUGCUACAUGAUGAGUUCCUUUAUGACGAGAGUUUUAAAAUUCCUACCACAGCCAAUUACUCAUGCUUACUAGAUUAGGAAAACCUCCACUUAUAUUUCAACCUAUAAGCAUUGAGAGUAGUUAAGCUGUGUAGACCCUAUGGAACUAGUCAUGCAGUUAAAGUCAAUAUUAUGUGCUCUCCAUCUAUUAAUCUUAGCUAUUUCUAUCCUCAGAAGUAUGCAACCACUUUCAUCCACCAUAUUCACUAUGUGCUACUUCUGUUUCUAGAAGUACCACCCACAUAUACGCACUACACUCUGUGUAGUUUCUAUCCUGGAGACACACAUCUAUGCUGCUCCUACCCUAGGAGUACGCAUUCCUUCAUUCACCCACACACAUUCCAUGUCCACUUAAUUAGAAAAUGUUCUACUCCUACACUGGGAGAAGACACCCAAAAAUAUUCAAUGUCUUAUUCUACUUAAUAAAGCCCCAGUUAUCCCAGUUGAUACUCCCUACUAUUGUCAUUGAAUUAAAAGGGAUGGCUGAUCUCAAAAAAAAGAGAGAAAAAAAGAAGAAAAGAAAGAAAGAGGACAAAAGUCCCAAUGCAAAAGAAAAGAAAGACAGCCAAAUCCUUGUUCUCAAAUUAGGGAGGUAUGUUAUCCCCAAGGAGCAAAUGUAGAAUUAGAUAUUCACCAUCAGUUAUCACCCCUCAUAACCCCUUUCAUUCUUAUCACUUCAUUUCACUUCACUCACAUGCACAUAUUACUUAAUUGUAUAAUUAGUUUCUCUGGAUCCAUGGUUUAACUAUGCAAUACAUGCUAGUAGGUUUGAAUUAUCUUUCCCACCUAUCAGCUCCACAUAAGCCAAUUAGAAGUAGGGUGAGAGAGAUAAGGCAACUAUGUCUUAGUGAUACAAAUACCAUAUAUUCUGAGAGCAAAGAGAAUGCAUACUCACUUGCCUUAGAGAGGAUCCAAAAAUACCACAUAUGAGAGACUGGAAAGUGUCAUACAAGGAAACUCUGAUUUUUAUUUAAAAAUCUUGCAAAACUCUAGAAUAAUAGUUGAUCAAGAAGCGGGUAGCAUAGUGCUCGACUUGACUGUUCUGUCUUUUGACUGCCCAAGACCUAAGUGAUAGCUAGAAGCGGGUAGCAUAGUGCUCGACUUGACUGUUCUAUCUUUCGACUGUUCUGUCUUGAGUCAGAAUAGUUCACUCUAAUCCGGAGGCGAGUCCUUGUUUGAAUACUUGUGUACUUGUGAGGCAUGAAAACAUUGUAGCAACUCCUAAUCCAAGUUUACUAGUUAGGCUUUGCUAAGGGACUAGCAAAGGGUAAGCUUGGGGGAACUUGUUGAUGGUUAAUAACGUCAACUUUUAUUAUAACUUUAGACCUGAAGGAAAACAUGAAAACACACUAGUCUAGGGUUUUAUCUGACAACUUCCACGAGUUUUGCAUAUUCUGUAUUUUCCAAAGUGAAUUUUAGGAAAGCCGAAAAGAGGAAUUCUAGUGCAAAAUAAACACAAAACUUAUCCACCACG
RNAcentral lists this long non-coding RNA (2844 nucleotides) under Sorghum bicolor (sorghum). Its description in RNAcentral is "long non-coding RNA (SBIC_LNC016562)". The record is from RNAcentral. Lineage: Eukaryota; Viridiplantae; Streptophyta; Magnoliopsida; Poales; Poaceae.